This 458-nucleotide ribosomal RNA is filed under the name uncultured bacterium. RNAcentral describes it as "partial 16S ribosomal RNA". It matches the Rfam family "Bacterial small subunit ribosomal RNA", at positions 338 to 795 of the family's 1533-position model. The record is from RNAcentral.
CCUACGGGUGGCAGCAGUGGGGAAUAUUGCACAAUGGGGGAAACCCUGAUGCAGCGACGCCGCGUGAGUGAAGGAGUAAUUCGUUACGUAAAGCUCUAUCAGCAGGGAAGCAAUACUGACCUUACGGUCAGCAGACGGUACCUGAGUAAGAAGCCCCGGCUAACUACGUGCAAGAAGCCGCGGUAAUACGUAGGGGGCAAGCGUUAUCCGGAUUUACUGGGUGUAAAGGGAGCGUAGACGGCGCGCCAAGGCUGGAGUGAAAUGCCGAAGCUUAACUGCGGAACUGCUUUGGAAACUGGCGAGCUAGAGUUCGCGAGGGGUAAGCGGAAUUCCUAGUGUAGCGGUGAAAUGCGUAGAUAUUAGGAGGAACACCGGUUGCGAAGGCGGCUUACUGGACCGUAACUGACGUUGAGGCUCGAAAGCGUGGGGAGCAAACAGGAUUAGAUACCCCAGUAGUC